UACGGAGGGUGCAAGCGUUAAUCGGAAUUACUGGGCGUAAAGCGCGCGUAGGUGGUUCAGUAAGUUGGAAGUGAAAUCCCCGGGCUCAACCUGGGAACUGCUUUCAAAACUGCUGAGCUAGAGUACGGUAGAGGGUGGUGGAAUUUCCUGUGUAGCGGUGAAAUGCGUAGAUAUAGGAAGGAACACCAGUGGCGAAGGCGACCACCUGGACUGAUACUGACACUGAGGUGCGAAAGCGUGGGGAGCGAACAGG
This 253-nucleotide ribosomal RNA is filed under the name uncultured bacterium. Its description in RNAcentral is "partial 16S ribosomal RNA". It matches the Rfam family "Bacterial small subunit ribosomal RNA", at positions 524 to 776 of the family's 1533-position model. The record is from RNAcentral.